GGGCCCGCACAAGCGGUGGAGCAUGUGGUUUAAUUCGAUGAUACGCGAGGAACCUUACCAGGGCUUAAAUGUAAGUUGCAUAAACUAGAGAUAGUUUUUUCUUCGGACUACUUACAAGGUGCUGCAUGGUUGUCGUCAGCUCGUGCCGUGAGGUGUCAGGUUAAGUCCUAUAAUGAGCGCAACCCCUAUCGUUAGUUGCCAACAGGUUAAGCUGGGAACUCUAACGAGACUGCCGGUGCAAACCGCGAGGAAGGUGGGGAUGACGUCAAAUCAUCACGGCCCUUACGUCCUGGCUACACACGUGCUACAAUGGCCGGUACAGAGAGCAGCCACUCCGCGAGGAGGAG
This 347-nucleotide ribosomal RNA is filed under the name uncultured bacterium. RNAcentral's name for it is "bacterial SSU rRNA". It matches the Rfam family "Bacterial small subunit ribosomal RNA", at positions 917 to 1267 of the family's 1533-position model. The record is from RNAcentral.